GAUGAACGCUGGCGGCGUGCCUAAUACGUGCAAGUCGAGCGAACGGACGAGAAGCUUUCUUCUCUGAUGUUAGCGGCGGACGGGUGAGUAACACGUGGAUAACCUACCUAUAAGACUGGGAUAACUUCGGGAAACCGGAUCUAAUACCGGAUAAUAUUUUGAACCGCAUGGUUCAUAAGUGAAAGACGUUCUUUCUGUCACUUAUUGAUUGUUCCUCGCUGCAUUAGCUAGUUGGUAAGUUAACGGCUUACCAAGGCAACGAUGCAUAGCCGAAAUGAGAGGGGGAACGGAAACACGGGAACAGAGAAACGGAAAAGACAAAGACGGGAGGCAGCAGAAGGGAAUAGUACGCAAUGGGCGAAAGCCUGACGGAGCAACGCCGCGUGAGAGAAGAAGGUCUACGGAUAGUAAAACUCUGUAAGGAGGGAAGAAAAUAAGUGAAAGAAAAGGUGAACAUAGUGACGGUAACGAAACAGAAAGCAACGGCUAACUACGUG
RNAcentral lists this ribosomal RNA (497 nucleotides) under uncultured bacterium. RNAcentral describes it as "partial 16S ribosomal RNA". It matches the Rfam family "Bacterial small subunit ribosomal RNA", at positions 28 to 507 of the family's 1533-position model. The record is from RNAcentral.